Molecule: transfer RNA, 62 nt
Filed under: Xenos yangi
Lineage: Eukaryota; Metazoa; Arthropoda; Insecta; Strepsiptera; Xenidae
Description: tRNA-Pro
Source: RNAcentral
UAGAAUAUAUUUUAAUUAAAAUAUUAAUUUUGGAGAUUAAAGAUAUAUUUAUAUUAUUCUGA